RNAcentral lists this ribosomal RNA (829 nucleotides) under Pseudomonas putida. RNAcentral describes it as "bacterial SSU rRNA". It matches the Rfam family "Bacterial small subunit ribosomal RNA", at positions 32 to 856 of the family's 1533-position model. Lineage: Bacteria; Pseudomonadati; Pseudomonadota; Gammaproteobacteria; Pseudomonadales; Pseudomonadaceae. The record is from RNAcentral.
GACGCUGGCGGCAGGCCUAACACAUGCAAGUCGAGCGGAUGACGGGAGCUUGCUCCUUGAUUCAGCGGCGGACGGGUGAGUAAUGCCUAGGAAUCUGCCUGGUAGUGGGGGACAACGUUUCGAAAGGAACGCUAAUACCGCAUACGUCCUACGGGAGAAAGCAGGGGACCUUCGGGCCUUGCGCUAUCAGAUGAGCCUAGGUCGGAUUAGCUAGUUGGUGGGGUAAUGGCUCACCAAGGCGACGAUCCGUAACUGGUCUGAGAGGAUGAUCAGUCACACUGGAACUGAGACACGGUCCAGACUCCUACGGGAGGCAGCAGUGGGGAAUAUUGGACAAUGGGCGAAAGCCUGAUCCAGCCAUGCCGCGUGUGUGAAGAAGGUCUUCGGAUUGUAAAGCACUUUAAGUUGGGAGGAAGGGCAUUAACCUAAUACGUUAGUGUUUUGACGUUACCGACAGAAUAAGCACCGGCUAACUCUGUGCCAGCAGCCGCGGUAAUACAGAGGGUGCAAGCGUUAAUCGGAAUUACUGGGCGUAAAGCGCGCGUAGGUGGUUUGUUAAGUUGGAUGUGAAAGCCCCGGGCUCAACCUGGGAACUGCAUCCAAAACUGGCAAGCUAGAGUACGGUAGAGGGUGGUGGAAUUUCCUGUGUAGCGGUGAAAUGCGUAGAUAUAGGAAGGAACACCAGUGGCGAAGGCGACCACCUGGACUGAUACUGACACUGAGGUGCGAAAGCGUGGGGAGCAAACAGGAUUAGAUACCCUGGUAGUCCACGCCGUAAACGAUGUCAACUAGCCGUUGGAAUCCUUGAGAUUUUAGUGGCGCAGCUAAC